Molecule: non-coding RNA, 234 nt
Filed under: Clostridium sp.
Lineage: Bacteria; Bacillati; Bacillota; Clostridia; Eubacteriales; Clostridiaceae
Description: T-box sequence
Rfam family: T-box leader
About the family: Uncharged tRNA acts as the effector for transcription antitermination of genes in the T-box leader family. T-boxes are found upstream of many aminoacyl-tRNA synthetase genes and some amino acid biosynthetic genes usually in Gram-positive bacteria.
Source: RNAcentral
AUAAAUGCAUAGAAGAGAAGAGUAGUAUAAUUGAUUGCUAAAGAGAGCUGGAGAUGGUGGAAACCAGUGCAUUGAAAUUAUAUGAAGAUGGCCUCGGAGCAGAUCAUCUGAAAAUUUAAGUAAGAUGAUACGGGUGCAACCGUUAUAUUGCAAAGUGAAGAUAUUCACUUAAUGAGAAAUUUAUUGUGAAAUAAGUUUAAAAUAGAGUGGUAACGCGUAUAUAACGUCUCUAUA